This 2097-nucleotide long non-coding RNA is filed under the name Olea europaea subsp. europaea. Lineage: Eukaryota; Viridiplantae; Streptophyta; Magnoliopsida; Lamiales; Oleaceae. The record is from RNAcentral.
GGUAUUUCUAUCAGCUUUUAGAGCGAUGAGUCUUAGGGGUUUUCUAUCAUGAAGAACUAGACAAGUAUUUUUGAAGAUGGAUCCAAGUACUGUACCAAGAAAAAUAGGUGACUCACUUUUUAAAGAUAAUUUCUAUAAUUUCUUUUGCUAUAUGAUUAUCAUGUUUUUUAUUCAUGCAUAGAAUGAAUCUUGAAGGAUAGCUUAAAUUCAGGGUUUUCGUUCUUUGCUCCAACUGAUGAUCAAUUUGGGUGAAACAUCGGGAUUUGUUUUUGUGAAUUUUUGAAGGCUUCAUCUUUUUUUCUUUUUUUUCCUUUCCUAACCGUUGUCUCCUGUUAAUAAGAAGAACUAGACAAGGAUUUUAAUUCAAGUGCUGUUCCAGAUCAACACAAAGGUAAGUUAAUAAUAAGAUAUUUAAAAAACGGGUCAGUCUAUUUUCACGAUAGUUUCUAUAAUUUCUUUAGCUAUAUGAUGAUAAAUCAAGUUUCAGUUGAUUCUGUUUUUGUGAAUUCUCUGAUGGUUUUCAUAGAAUCUCUAAAUUUUGGGAUUCAGCAAUUAUGUUCUCUCUUUUUUCUAUUACAAUAUGUUCUUUUUUCUAUACUCUUUGUUUCUAUAAUUCCCUUGUCUUUAUGAUUACAUUCUUCGAUGUUGCAUUUGGAUGAAUUUUGAAGGAUCUUUUUUGGAUUUUGUUCUUUGGAGUGAUAAUCAAUAUUGGGUUUCAUUGGAUUUUUUAUGUGAGUUUCCUCUUAGUUGAAUCUUCAAUGUAAUAUGUGCUUUUGUGUUAUGUUUUUGUUAUUCGUUUUUGACUGGAGAAAGAACUCAUUUCCACUCUCAAAUGGGGGUAGGAACGUGGUCUGAAACAACACGGCCAACCAAAUUUGAAUUUUUGCUCUUUAUGUUCGUUUUAAAGUUGUGAUGUAGAAACACAUUCUUUAUUCUAUUUGUGUUUCAUGGAUAUCAGGAAGAGGAUUUGUUGCUUGGAUUCUUCCACGUACCUCAUCUAGGUUUUUAUUGAGCCCUAGAAGAAAUUUAUAGAUUCUUUUCUUCUCCACUUUUUUCUUGUAUCUUGCUGCAUCUCCUUGAGAUUCCAAUUCAUUUCUUCUUGACACAAGUCGUGAUGGACGCCUUCGAUCUCAAAUGAUUUAGGAUUCUCGAGGCCUAAAGACAUAAUGGUUCAUUGAAUUGAUUAGCGAUAACAUCAGCAUAUUAUAUUCUGCUUCAACUCUUGAACUUUGAAUCAUUGGCUGCUGGAGUUAUGGCAGCCCUGGUGACAUAUUAUUCUCCAUUCCCUUUCCUCAGAUAAACAUUAUAAUGGAUUGGGGACCAUUGUAACUAAUUUUCCCAUUCAGUCGGCACUCUAAUUUAGGUAUCUCUGGACAGAGCAUUCUAAUUUGGGUAUCUCUGGAUAGGUUUAAUUGCAGGUUCAUUGAUUUUUGGUUAUUCAAGUUGUAUGAGCAUUCUAAAUUACCUCAAUCAUGGUUAGUUUGCACUUUGUAAUAUUGAAAGUGCAUGACAUUUCAACAAGUGAUACUAUAUACUCUUGCCCUUCGGACAAAAGGCUGAUACUUCCAGGGUAACUGUUUCUUCAUCCCACGAUGAGGCGAAUUCAUGAGUUUCCCAAAAAUGUUUCCGUUUACUUUUCAAUCAGUAUCUUUUCACAUUCUGAAAUUUGAAACAGCUUUCAGGAUCAGCAGAAGUUUUGCACUUUUGCCCAUCCCUGAUGUGGGUCAUCCAUUAGCUAAAUUCCAGCUAAAGAGAUUAAAACACAGUAUAAACUUCUUGUUAAAGGUUAGGAUUUUUCCUAUUACGAUAGUUCUUAUCUCAUAGUUCUUUUAAGAUGUUAAUUUUCAUAUUUCUAUUUCUGAAGUGACAUAAUUCGUAAAUAACGUAAAUCAAGCUGUUAAAGAGGAACAUCUGUGAUGCAUAUGAAUUGGAUUAAUCUUUUGAAAGGCAAAGGAACAUCUGUGAUGCAUUAAUGGAUAUGGACACAUUCUCAAUUGAAAAUGUUAUAUAGAAAAGCUGCAAAAAGUUCUAAGUUUUGUUAAGACACAUUCUUGAUUGAGUAGCUGUCCUUGUUUACCCACGAUUAUUAUUUUUUGC